RNAcentral lists this ribosomal RNA (397 nucleotides) under uncultured bacterium. RNAcentral describes it as "bacterial SSU rRNA". It matches the Rfam family "Bacterial small subunit ribosomal RNA", at positions 358 to 772 of the family's 1533-position model. The record is from RNAcentral.
GGAAUAUUGAGCAAUGGGCGCAAGCCUGACUCAGCAACGCCGCGUGGAUGAUGAAGGCCUUCGGGUUGUAAAAUCCUUUCCUGCGGGAAGAUAAUGACGGUACCGCAGGAAUAAGUUCCGGCUAACUACGUGCCAGCAGCCGCGGUAAAACGUAGGGGACAAGCGUUAGCCGGAACUACUGGGCGUAAAGCGCCCGUAGGCGGCCUUUCAAGUUGGAUGGGAAAGCUCCUGGCUUAACUGGGAGAGGUCAUUCAAAACUGGGGGGCUAGAGGAUGGAAGAGGAGAGCGGAAUUCGCGGUGUAGUGGUGGAAUGCGUAGAGAUCGGGAGGAACACCAGUGGCGAAAGCGGCUCUCUGGUCCGUACCUGACGCUGAGGGGCGAAAGCGUGGGGAGCGAA